Molecule: long non-coding RNA, 540 nt
Filed under: Phaseolus vulgaris (common bean)
Lineage: Eukaryota; Viridiplantae; Streptophyta; Magnoliopsida; Fabales; Fabaceae
Description: long non-coding RNA (PVUL_LNC000503)
Source: RNAcentral
AAUGAAAAAUAAGACUUGGUUCCUUAUUCUGUGUUCUUAAACAGUAACAUUUCUAAAAGGCUCAACACACUUGAAUCACUACAACUGGUGGCUUUAAGAUGUUAACAGGUAAAAAGGAAGAACCAAUCUGCUUGAAGAACAGUGAAACUGUUAACAUCUCAAUGAUGGACACUUCUCAGAGUUCACCAUCCCAGAGCUCUUCGACGGUCUUAUAGGCACCAUAGGUCUCGUCAGUACAAAAUGUGCCCUUAAUUAGCCUAUCCUGCAUGACCAAAUUCCUUUUGUUAAUUCAAAAAAUCAAGCUUUAAGGCCACUUCUGGGAUUAUAAUGCUAUGGCACACAAGCAUCAUACAAGGUAGUUAAAGAUGGUAAGGAACUACAUACCAGAAACACCUUAGGAGGUAGGGUUUAAUUGAAUCUUUUAAACUAGAAAAAAACUUUUGAAAAAGAAAUCAAACACACCCUAACUAAGUAACUACUUGCCUGGUUAAUUUCAGAGAAUUUGGCCAUUAGUUCUUCUGGAAUAGACCAGUCAAAAAC